RNAcentral lists this unclassified non-coding RNA (331 nucleotides) under soil metagenome. RNAcentral's name for it is "partial contains 5.8S ribosomal RNA, internal transcribed spacer 2, and large subunit ribosomal RNA". The stretch from base 1 to 120 matches the Rfam family "5.8S ribosomal RNA", at positions 35 to 154 of the family's 154-position model. The record is from RNAcentral.
GAUGAAGAACGCAGCGAAAUGCGAUAAGUAAUGUGAAUUGCAGAAUUCAGUGAAUCAUCGAAUCUUUGAACGCACAUUGCGCCCCCUGGUAUUCCGGGGGGCAUGCCUGUUCGAGCGUCAUUUCACCACUCAAGCCUCGCUUGGUAUUGGGCAACGCGGUCCGCCGCGUGCCUCAAAUCGACCGGCUGGGUCUUCUGUCCCCUAAGCGUUGUGGAAACUAUUCGCUAAAGGGUGUUCGGGAGGCUACGCCGUAAAACAACCCCAUUUCUAAGGUUGACCUCGGAUCAGGUAGGGAUACCCGCUGAACUUAAGCAUAUCAAUAGGCGGAGGA